AUGGGCGUCGACCGGCGCACGGGUGAGUAACGCGUAUCCAACCUGCCCAUCACUUGGGGAUAACCUUGCGAAAGUAAGACUAAUACCCAAUGACGUCUCUAGAAGACAUCUGAAAGAGAUUAAAGAUUUAUCGGUGAUGGAUGGGGAUGCGUCUGAUUAGCUUGUUGGCGGGGUAACGGCCCACCAAGGCGACGAUCAGUAGGGGUUCUGAGAGGAAGGUCCCCCACAUUGGAACUGAGACACGGUCCAAACUCCUACGGGAGGCAGCAGUGAGGAAUAUUGGUCAAUGGACGAGAGUCUGAACCAGCCAAGUAGCGUGCAGGAUGACGGCCCUAUGGGUUGUAAACUGCUUUUAUAAGGGAAUAAAGUGAGUCUCGUGAGACUUUUUGCAUGUACCUUAUGAAUAAGGACCGGCUAAUUCCGUGCCAGCAGCCGCGGUAAUACGGAAGGUCCGGGCGUUAUCCGGAUUUAUUGGGUUUAAAGGGAGCGUAGGCCGGAGAUUAAGCGUGUUGUGAAAUGUAGACGCUCAACGUCUGCACUGCAGCGCGAACUGGUUUCCUUGAGUACGCACAAAGUGGGCGGAAUUCGUGGUGUAGCGGUGAAAUGCUUAGAUAUCACGAAGAACUCCGAUUGCGAAGGCAGCUCACUGGAGCGCAACUGACGCUGAAGCUCGAAAGUGCGGGUAUCGAACAGGAUUAGAUACCCUGGUAGUCCGCACGGUAAACGAUGGAUGCCCGCUGUUGGUCUGAAUAGGUCAGCGGCCAAGCGAAAGCAUUAAGCAUCCCACCUGGGGAGUACGCCGGCAACGGUGAAACUCAAAGGAAUUGACGGGGGCCCGCACAAGCGGAGGAACAUGUGGUUUAAUUCGAUGAUACGCGAGGAACCUUACCCGGGCUUGAAUUGCAGAGGAAGGAUUUGGAGACAAUGACGCCCUUCGGGGCCUCUGUGAAGGUGCUGCAUGGUUGUCGUCAGCUCGUGCCGUGAGGUGUCGGCUUAAGUGCCAUAACGAGCGCAACCCCUCUCCUUAGUUGCCAUCAGGUCAAGCUGGGCACUCUGGGGACACUGCCACCGUAAGGUGUGAGGAAGGUGGGGAUGACGUCAAAUCAGCACGGCCCUUACGUCCGGGGCUACACACGUGUUACAAUGGCAGGUACAGAGAGAUGGUCCUCUGCAAAGCGGAUCAAAUCCUUAAAGCCUGUCUCAGUUCGGACUGGGGUCUGCAACCCGACCCCACGAAG
This 1238-nucleotide ribosomal RNA is filed under the name Segatella copri. RNAcentral's name for it is "bacterial SSU rRNA". It matches the Rfam family "Bacterial small subunit ribosomal RNA", at positions 84 to 1325 of the family's 1533-position model. The record is from RNAcentral. Lineage: Bacteria; Pseudomonadati; Bacteroidota; Bacteroidia; Bacteroidales; Prevotellaceae.